AAUGGACACCUCCUUAUACUCCAUAAUUAAAUAAAAUUAUGAAAAAGAGGAAUCGCAUCUUAUUAGAUAUGGUGUGGUCCAAAUGAUGUGUUUCAUGAAUCUUUCGAUAUUCUUCUGGGGAUAUGCUCUCGAGGCCGCAGUGUAUAUUUUAAAUAAGGUAUCUUCUAAAUUUAUUUCUAGCACUCUAUAUAAAAUAUGGAAAGAAAAAAACUCAAUCUUAAGUAUCUUAAGAUUCG
RNAcentral lists this long non-coding RNA (236 nucleotides) under Elaeis guineensis (African oil palm). RNAcentral describes it as "long non-coding RNA (EGUI_LNC082663)". The record is from RNAcentral. Lineage: Eukaryota; Viridiplantae; Streptophyta; Magnoliopsida; Arecales; Arecaceae.